UACGUAGGUGGCAAGCGUUGUCCGGAAUUACUGGGCGUAAAGCGCGCGCAGGCGGUCCUUUAAGUCUGAUGCGAAAGCCCACGGCUCAACCGUGGAGGGUCAUUGGAAACUGGAGGACUUGAGUGCAGAAGAGGAGAGUGGAAUUCCACGUGUAGCGGUGAAAUGCGUAGAGAUGUGGAGGAACACCAGUGGCGAAGGCGACUCUCUGGUCUGUAACUGACGCUGAGGCGCGAAAGCGUGGGGAGCAAACAGG
This 253-nucleotide ribosomal RNA is filed under the name uncultured bacterium. RNAcentral's name for it is "partial 16S ribosomal RNA". It matches the Rfam family "Bacterial small subunit ribosomal RNA", at positions 524 to 776 of the family's 1533-position model. The record is from RNAcentral.